RNAcentral lists this ribosomal RNA (349 nucleotides) under uncultured bacterium. RNAcentral's name for it is "partial 16S ribosomal RNA". It matches the Rfam family "Bacterial small subunit ribosomal RNA", at positions 338 to 704 of the family's 1533-position model. The record is from RNAcentral.
CCUACGGGGGGCAGCAGUGGGGAAUAUUGCACAAUGGGGGAAACCCUGAUGCAGCAACGCCGCGUGAGUGAAGAAGUAUUUCGGUAUGUAAAGCUCUAUCAGCAGGGAAGAAGAUGACGGUACCUGAGUAAGAAGCCCCGGCUAACUACGUGCCAGCAGCCGCGGUAAUACGUCGGGGGCAAGCGUUAUCCGGAUUUACUGGGUGGAAAGGGAGCGCAGACGGCAGUGCAAGUCUGGAGUGAAAGCCCGGGGCCCCACCCCGGAACUGCUCGGGAAACUGUGCGGCUAGAGUACUGGAGGGGCAGGCGGACUUCCUCGUGUAGCGGUGACCUGCGUCGAUAUUAGGAGG